AUGUACAUUCCUAUAGCAUAGCGUUAAUGCAUUAGAUCCCAUUAUAACUCCAUAGUUAAGCGUUCUCAGGAUAGAGUAGUACUGGGAUGGGUGACCAUCGAGGAAGUCCUAGUGUUUUACAUG
Non-coding RNA from Picea glauca (white spruce), 123 nucleotides. Lineage: Eukaryota; Viridiplantae; Streptophyta; Pinopsida; Pinales; Pinaceae. The record is from Rfam.